RNAcentral lists this ribosomal RNA (465 nucleotides) under uncultured bacterium. RNAcentral's name for it is "partial 16S ribosomal RNA". It matches the Rfam family "Bacterial small subunit ribosomal RNA", at positions 28 to 507 of the family's 1533-position model. The record is from RNAcentral.
GACGAACGCUGGCGGCGUGCUUAACACAUGCAAGUCGUACGGUAAGGCCCUUUCGGGGGUACACGAGUGGCGAACGGGUGAGUAACACGUGAGUAACCUGCCCACAACUUUGGGAUAACGCUAGGAAACUGGUGCUAAUACUGGAUAUGUGCUCCUGCUGCAUGGUGGGGGUUGGAAAGCUCCGGCGGGUGUGGAUGGACUCGCGGCCUAUCAGCUUGUUGGUGGGGUAGUGGCCUACCAAGGCGGCGGCGGGUAGCCGGCCUGAGAGGGUGACCGGCCACAUUGGGACUGAGAUAAGGCCCAGACUCCUACGGGGGGCAGCAGUGGGGAAUAUUGCACAAUGGGCGCAAGCCUGAUGCAGCAACGCCGCGGGCGGGAUGACGGCCUUCGGGUUGUAAACCGCUUUCAGCAGGGACGAAGCUUUUUGUGACGGUACCUGCAGAAGAAGCACCGGCUAACUACGUG